RNAcentral lists this transfer RNA (32 nucleotides) under Inga thibaudiana. RNAcentral's name for it is "partial tRNA-Leu". The record is from RNAcentral. Lineage: Eukaryota; Viridiplantae; Streptophyta; Magnoliopsida; Fabales; Fabaceae.
AAAAUCCGUCGACUUUAGAAAUCGUAUCCCCM